This 151-nucleotide microRNA precursor is filed under the name Olea europaea subsp. europaea. Lineage: Eukaryota; Viridiplantae; Streptophyta; Magnoliopsida; Lamiales; Oleaceae. The record is from RNAcentral.
AAAUUAAUAUAAAUUUUGUUAUUUGUAUCCAGGUGAUGACACGCCCCUCACAAGAAAGGGGCCCUUGUUGAAUAGAAAAAAUGCACCAGCCUCCCUGCUUUGAGGGGCAUGUCAACGUUUGGAUACAUAUAGCAUGAUCCAAAAGUAAUAU